CUACGGGCCGCUGCAGUGGGGAAUAUUGGACAAUGGGGGGAACCCUGAUGCAGCAACGCCGCGUGGAGGAUGACGCAUUUCGGUGUGUAAACUCCUUUUAUAUGUCAAGAAAAUGACGGUAGCAUAUGAAUAAGCACCGGCUAACUCCGUGCCAGCAGCCGCGGUAAUACGGAGGGUGCAAGCGUUACUCGGAAUCACUGGGCGUAAAGGACGCGUAGGCGGGUUGGAAAGUCAGGUGUGAAAUCCUACAGCUGAACUGUAGAACUGCACUUGAAACUUCUAAUCUAGAGUAUGGGAGGGGGAGAUGGAAUUAGUGGUGUAGGGGUAAAAUCCGUAGAUAUCACUAGGAAUACCUAAAGCGAAGGCGAUCUCCUGGAACAUUACUGACGCUAAGGCGUGAAAGCGUGGGGAGCAAACAGGAUUAGAUACCCUCGUAGUC
RNAcentral lists this ribosomal RNA (439 nucleotides) under uncultured bacterium. Its description in RNAcentral is "partial 16S ribosomal RNA". It matches the Rfam family "Bacterial small subunit ribosomal RNA", at positions 339 to 795 of the family's 1533-position model. The record is from RNAcentral.